This is a small nucleolar RNA of Lemur catta (Ring-tailed lemur), 69 nucleotides long. RefSeq annotates it as small nucleolar RNA SNORA26. The transcript has a single exon. The record is from RefSeq and is a predicted model, not a curated record. Lineage: Eukaryota; Metazoa; Chordata; Mammalia; Primates; Lemuridae.
GUGCCCUCUUAAAGUUGACGCGGUGCUUUAGGAGGCUAACACAGAAGGGUAAAGUGUAAGAGCAGAGGU